UUUGUUGAUUUGUUUUGGUUUAUACAAUCAAAGUUUGGACAAUGCAACGCUGCUUUUCAUGAGAAAGGCUUUGAUUUGUGGGCUUUUUUACGGGGAAUUUUUUUUAUAGUUUUGUUUUAAUUAAAUUUACUUGAAUUUUUAAGUUUUCUAUUGUGAGCUAUCCUAAAUUCAGCACAAAGCCGAAAAGAAUCAUUGAGUUUUUAAACUAUUUCUUCACUUUUGGGACUUUUAUUAGAAGGUGUUCCAUCAGUAUUAAAUCAAGGAGAGUGAACAGCAUUUGGAUGUGGAGAGGGGAUGGGGAGACCAGUAUGACUGCAUAACCUGCAUAAGCACAAAGGAAAGGAGCUCAGACUCCAGACAUGCAGUUAUAAUUCAUUCAGCCUAGGCAGCUGCUGAUUGACGGAAAUCCAUGAAAUUUCCAAAGCAAAUAUACAGAACUGACAAGAUGGUUGAACAAAUUCUUAUGUCAUAUUUUGAUUUAACUCUUUCAAAGCACUCAUUUUAAAUUGAAAGGCAGAGAAAAUGUAUUUGCUUGUUUUUUCACUGUGUUUUGUUAUUUUCCAGUAACAUAGUUGGAGAAAACCAAUUUUUCUGGGUUGAUGGAAUUAGUAUUGAGAAACAGAAAUGUUUGGCUUUAGAUCACUGAGUUGAACUGGAAGGGGUAAAGCCUGUCAAGGUUUAGUGACUGCUCCAAGCUGCAUACAGAAUUAAUUAGUAGAUUCAAUUUUAUUCUUGGUUGCACAAAGAUAAAAAAUACCACUACUAUGACUUAAGCCUUUUUUGGCAAGCUCAACAGAACAAGAUAGGUCAAGCUUGAAAGCAAAAGAGUGGGGUGGAGUGGGUUGGGAUGGGGGAAAUUUCCUCUCAAUCCUACAGGUGCACUAUCUAAGCCAGCACUGGAGCACAUGAAGGAGGUCCGUACUGCCACAACACCAGCUGGAUCUCCUCUGAGCUUAACCAAAAGACCUGGACACACAAAUUCAGAUUGGAAUGGCCUGAAAACACUUCAUUUAAAGAUAACAGAUCUCCAGUGUCUGUCACCAGAACUCCUGAGUUUUCCCAGGCUUUCAGUGGGUCCCAGGAAGUUAAACUAGAACGUGCUGUAAAUGGAGUAGUCCUCUCUAGCUCUAAACAGACCACUAAGCACAGCACACUUUCACUGUGUUUGACAAAAGGAACAUUUUCAGCACAUUUUUAUCAGUGCCUGGCUUUUAUUUCCCCAUUUGUAAGGUUCCUGGUAUUAAGUUCAUCUUAAGGCAAACAUUCACUGUGCACUGAUAACAAACUGGAGACACUCUGCAUUCGAUAGUGGUAAAGUAACCCCUUUCUUCCACAAAAUACAAAAACAUAUUUAUUUUAGCUAAGUUUGCCUAGGAAUUGAUGUUAUUUGUCUUACAAUGUACAAGGAAGAAAAAAAAGGUCCUUGAGCUACAGUAAAGAAAAAUUUAUAUAAAAUUUUUGCAUGUGACAUUUGAAAAUCUCUGAAUCACUUCUAUGAAUUCUAUCAAGACAAAAAGAUUGUUGUUAACAGAUCGCUAUUUCCAGGAAUGUCUCCAUUGAACAUUAGGUCAAAAUUGCAAAACUAUCCUAAUUCAAAUAAUUUUUGAACCUAGGGGAAUUUUUCAACGAGGACAGUAAAGGAAGUAUUUAAUACUAAUAUGUCGUUGCACUUAUAUAUUUAUAAAUAACUGUAAUAAAUAUUUAUUUAUGCACACUUUAAAUUUGAGAUUGCUUAUGUUUAAAUGGAAUUAGAAAAUAAGAGUUAAGGUUGAAUUCUUGUUUCAGCAUACACAGGAAUUAAUUUUCUUUGAAUAUUUUCUCAUAUUUACCCUAAGUGUGCUGCCUUAUUUAAUACUAGUGAAAAUAUGCUUCCUUGAGAGAAAAGUCAGGAGAAAUAAAGAAUUAUAAACUGAAUGUUUAAUUCAGUUCAAAAUUUGAGGAAAAUAUGCCUUGUUUUAAGGCAAAAAAGGUACUUUUACCUAACUCUUAUUGAAAAGAUGUCUUUGACUGACAUAUUUUAUCUAAUCCUACUUAUUUAAGAAAAUAAAGGUGCUUCACGGCAGUUCUAUUUCCAGCUCUCUGCCAUUAGACUGCUUGCCAAGUUUUUCUUGGCUAACACUAUGGAUAAUUAUUUUUCAACUAUGUGCAUUUUAGCACUCAAACCACAAUAUUUACCGACAUAACAACUACGGAUAGAGUGCAAGUUCCUCAAAUCAGUAUGGCAGAGCCAUUUUUGUGAGCAAAAGCCAUAAGGAUAAGAUACCAGUAUAAAUGAUAGCUAUUUCAAAUGUACAGAUAUUCAAAUGCUGUAAGCACAGAUUUACUCUUUAAUAUAAUUUACACUGGUGUUACCAAGCCCAGUGUAUUUCUUUAAUUGUUGUUUUAACAAGUUACCAAUAAACCAAUAAAAAUAAGUGCUAUUAGCAA
Molecule: long non-coding RNA, 2427 nt
Organism: Pseudopipra pipra
Lineage: Eukaryota; Metazoa; Chordata; Aves; Passeriformes; Pipridae
Exons: 2
Source: RefSeq, a predicted model, not a curated record